This 379-nucleotide unclassified non-coding RNA is filed under the name soil metagenome. RNAcentral's name for it is "partial contains 5.8S ribosomal RNA, internal transcribed spacer 2, and large subunit ribosomal RNA". The stretch from base 1 to 120 matches the Rfam family "5.8S ribosomal RNA", at positions 35 to 154 of the family's 154-position model. The record is from RNAcentral.
GAUGAAGAACGUAGUGAAAUGCGAUAAGUAAUGUGAAUUGCAGAAUUCAGUGAAUCAUCGAAUCUUUGAACGCACCUUGCACCCUUUGGCAUUCUGAAGGGUAUGCUCGUUUGAGUGUCAUUGUACUCUCACACUCCCGAUCUUUGCAUUGGGAGCAGUGGACUUGGGUUUGCUGCUUCACCGUCGCUUACCUCAAAUAGGUUAGUGCAACUCUUGGUUGGACAUAGUACGGCGUGAUAAGUGUUCUUCGCCGGUGCCUCGCAAAGAGGGUGGCCGAUCGGGAUGUUGUGCUCCAAACCGUCUUCGGACAAUCUCUGACGACUUGACCUCAAAUCGAGUAAGACAACCCGCUGAACUUAAGCAUAUCAAAAGCGGAGGA